UGUAGACUGUGUGUCCCGUGCAAUGAUUCAGUGAACAAAUUUGUGUUGUAUGUUUGCACAGGUUUCUGUUACAGCGGUGAUCUCUGACCAGAAUUAUGAAGAAUUUCAAAAAUAGAUGCAAGACUCCGAAGGUCUUGAGCUGUCAGGGCACUGCAGUACCAGUAUGUGCAUAUCAGUUUGCGAUUUACUGACAGCAUCAAAGUGACAUCCAGUUGGUUUGGUGUCAAGUAGGAGGCUCUGGUGGCGUUUCUCUCAACUGACAGCAAUGUUGACAGGAGCUUCAGGUCCAGGCAUCAGGAUGUAGCUGUCGAGGAGGGUGAAAGAUGGUUUGUAGAGAGGCUUCCACUGCUUGGGUAACUUCACCAUCCUUGCCCCAGGUUGUUUUCAUGCUUGGCCACCUCGACACCCUGAAAGCAAAGAGCGUUCCAAGGGCACCAUAAGAACCGAACAACAGUCGGAGAGGUGACGUUCAGAGUAGAAAGUCUAGGGUUUGUCUGGUGACAAUCAAUUGAUGGAAACAUCGACGCCAAUAUAUCCUGCAUUGAAAAACUAUAUCAGAGAGAACAUCUGGAAAAUAUUCUGUAGAGCUUAGGCUUAGGUGCACCCCCUUAUCUAGCCAUCCAUCUCUGCAUCGCGAUUCGUGCAAGAACUUUUCUCUUUUUUGUUUCUUCCAAAUAAAACAACAUAUGAACUUCAAACUUUGCAGCACAACAAAACAUUCUAGCUAGAAUGUGGGAAAAAACUUUCAGAUUUUUUCGUGCAUCAUAAGUACUAAAAAUAACAUUUUUGAAUAAAGAGAAUCUCAUUUUGUAUAUUUAUGUUGGUCAAAAAAAUCUGUAAGUUUUUUCUCUCAUUGUAGUAAGAAUGUUUUGUUAUCUUGCAAAGUUUGAAGUUCAUAUUUUUUUAUUUGGAAGCAACAAAAAAGAGAAAAUUUCACGCAGUAAGUUAGUUGUCUAGCACGGAUCUCAAAGCUAUACUGGAUGGUAUGGAUAGGAGGUGUCCAUGAGCCUAAGCUCUAAAAAUCCACGUCCGAGAACAUCUCAUAGCUGUGCUGUGAUCAGGGCAGUUACAGAGCAAGUGUUCACCAUUUGCAUACUCUGAAAAAAAACACGAGUUCACUGAUAAAUUGGUCUGGCCGGGUCAUGUAAACACAAUGGGCAUGCUCAGGCAUACGUGGGGUGAAUUGGCGCCGAGUGACAAGAAGUAUGUAGUACCUUGGGCUGUUCAAGCAGUUGAAGACGAAAAACGCACUAGUCAAAGGCUAGCCAAGUCCUGAAUGUCCCUGAAGGUUUCUGGUCGAAAUCCUCACCUGAGCAAGACCAUGUGAGCAGCUAAAGCCUUUUUGUCAGAUUGUGGAUUCACUAAUGGCGAUCAUGUGUUCCCUUCUGCGAGGCUUUUGGUUGAGUGAGAAAAACAUCAUGCAAUUCUGAUUAGUUUUUCUUCUGCUGCACUGACAUUGACAUGUGGUGUUUCAGCGAAUGCAGUGGACUUAAAUUAACUGGAUCUAUUUGCUUCAAAAAGAUGAGUCUGGCAAAGUGUCAUGUCAAUGGCAAGGAGCUGGAGGUGCCACGAAGGAAGUGGAGUAGCUGUAGAAGAAGGCAAAGGUAACUGUUGCCGUCUGCUGUCCUCCAUGAGCGGGCAGCUGCGCAGGGCCAUGCCCAUCAUGCUGCCAAAUCUCCGUAUGGCAAAUCUAGGCCGGCCUGGAACAUGACAACACCGGCCAACCGGAUUCCUAGAACAUCAGGAGGAUCAGUUUUCAGUUGCAUCACCAAAAUCUUUCAGAAGAACCUCUUCUGAUGGCCUAGUGCGCAGAUUCUUUCAUCUCGAGAGAAGUGUGAACUGUUUUUCCUCUGAAGCAAUCUGUUAGUUCUCGAACUUAAUUUGCAAUGGUGAUGCUCUCAGCUUGCAGGACAGAGCACUGAAGGGACUUGCAAAACUCAUAUUUAUAUGGUGUUAUCAGUUUCAGAGGCGUGGGGCUAAUAUUUCAACCCUUUUAUCUGGUCUGUUUUUGUCCCAGCAAUAGGAAUUUUAGGCCAUAACAAACCAACGAGUAUAACAUAACUUGCUCAAGAGAAACAUUGUGAAACAAGUUGACUGGACUUUUCUUGGAAAAAUGUAACUGUUUAUCAUCAACCUUUUUGGUUGUGUCGUGGCUACCAUGACAUCCUCUACACCAAGGCGGCCGUCAUCUAGACACGUCUUGGUUACGGCAUCCGUGUGGCCUCGCCGCUAGCCAUUGCCGCUGCAACCGUGCUCUUUGGGUUCUACAGCAAAGAUGGCCAGAGCAUGCCGGACGUGAUUGUCACCUACACCCUGCUGUUGGCUAACUUCUUCCUGGAUAUGAGAUGGUUGUUGAGGGCACUUGGGUCAACCUGGGCGCACGCUUUCCAGAAGUCCAGCUGGCUUCACCAUGUUGUUCUGUGAAGUGGGAGAUGGCGCCGGCUCCCUUGUUUCGUCGUGUCUCUUGAUCUUAGUCGGCUACGCCUUAUGGUGCCUCCGGUACCAAGAGCUACAGAAGGUUGUCAGGCACUGUUGAGCAGAGCAGUACAGCUUGCUGCACGAGUGCAAUCGGAAGAUCAGUGCAUGUGGCAAAUUGGCAAAUGCAAUUGGGUUGGAAGAUAUUUGGAAUGAAUACCAGCACUCCAAAUGACAUAUGCUUUCACAAGAUGUGAAAGCUUUGGUGUUCGAAUGUGUACAGAAGAUACUCAAAUCAAGAUACGAGAUGCAGGACACUGUUCGACUUGAAUAAUAUGCAGUGUGUGAUGCUGCUCUUGUAUGGUUUGUCAUUAUCAUAUUCUAUGCAAGCUAAAUUUUGUACCAGUGGAUCAAGGUCGACCUGACAGUAUUGCAGGUA
Molecule: non-coding RNA, 2854 nt
Organism: Triticum urartu
Lineage: Eukaryota; Viridiplantae; Streptophyta; Magnoliopsida; Poales; Poaceae
Source: RefSeq, a predicted model, not a curated record